This 497-nucleotide ribosomal RNA is filed under the name uncultured bacterium. RNAcentral's name for it is "partial 16S ribosomal RNA". It matches the Rfam family "Bacterial small subunit ribosomal RNA", at positions 28 to 507 of the family's 1533-position model. The record is from RNAcentral.
GAUGAACGCUGGCGGCGUGCCUAAUACAUGCAAGUCGAGCGAACAGACGAGGAGCUUGCUCCUCUGACGUUAGCGGCGGACGGGUGAGUAACACGUGGAUAACCUACCUAUAAGACUGGGAUAACUUCGGGAAACCGGAGCUAAUACCGGAUAAUAUAUUGAACCGCAUGGUUCAAAAGUGAAAGACGGUUUUGCUGUCACUUAUAGAUGGAUCCGCGCUGCAUUAGCUAGUUGGUAAGGUAACGGCUUACCAAGGCAACGAUGCGUAGCCGACCUGAGAGGGUGAUCGGCGACACUGGAACUGAAACACGGCCCAGACUCCUACGGGAGGCAGCAGUAGGGAAUCUUCCGCAAUGGGCGAAAGCCUGACGGAGCAACGCCGCGUGAGUGAUGAAGGUCUUCGGAGCGUAAAACUCUGUUAUGAGGGAAGAACAAAUGUGUAAGUAACUAUGCACUUCUUGACGGUACCUAAUCAGAAAGCCACGGCUAACUACGUG